RNAcentral lists this ribosomal RNA (334 nucleotides) under uncultured Nitrospirota bacterium. Its description in RNAcentral is "bacterial SSU rRNA". It matches the Rfam family "Bacterial small subunit ribosomal RNA", at positions 29 to 351 of the family's 1533-position model. Lineage: Bacteria; Pseudomonadati; Nitrospirota. The record is from RNAcentral.
AACGAACGCUGGCGGCGUGCUUAACACAUGCAAGUCUGACGGAGUCAUUUUGAAGUAGCAAUAUGGAAAGAUGACUUAGUGGCGGACGGGUGAGUAACACGUAGGUAACCUACCCUUAAGCUGGGGACAACUCAGGGAAACUUGAGCUAAUACCCGAUAAGACCACGGACUGAGAUGUUAGUGGUAAAAGGAGCGAUUCACUUAGGGAUGGGCCUGCGGCCUAUCAGGUAGUUGGUGAGGUAAUGGCUCACCAAGCCUAAGACGGGUAGCCGGGCUGAGAGGCCGGACGGCCACACUGGAACUGAGAUACGGUCCAGACUCCUACGGGAGGCAG